RNAcentral lists this ribosomal RNA (253 nucleotides) under uncultured bacterium. RNAcentral describes it as "partial 16S ribosomal RNA". It matches the Rfam family "Bacterial small subunit ribosomal RNA", at positions 524 to 776 of the family's 1533-position model. The record is from RNAcentral.
UACGGAGGGCGCAAGCGUUUCUCGGAAUUACUGGGCGUAAAGCGCACGCAGGUGGUCCAUCAAGUCGGGUGUGAAAUCCCUGGGCUCAACCCAGGAUGUGCAUUCGAAACUGGCGGACUCGAGUACGGGAGAGGGAAGCGGAAUUCCUGGUGUAGAGGUGAAAUUCGUAGAUAUCAGGAGGAACACCGGUGGCGAAGGCGGCUUCCUGGCCCGAUACUGACGCUCAUGUGCGAAAGCGUGGGGAGCAAACAGG